AAGUGGACGAACCUCUGGUGGUCCGGUUGUUGCGCCAGCAGCAUUGCCGGGUAGCUAUGUUCGGAAGGGAUAACCGCUGAAAGCAUAUAAGCGGGAAGCCCCUCCUAAGAUGAGAUCUCCCUUGAGAGCCGUUGAAGACGACAACGUUGAUAGGCUAGAUGUGUAAGUCCUGUAAGGGAUUCAGCUUACUAGUACUAAUUGCUCGAUCGGCUUGAAUAA
RNAcentral lists this ribosomal RNA (219 nucleotides) under SAR86 cluster bacterium. Its description in RNAcentral is "partial 23S ribosomal RNA". It matches the Rfam family "Bacterial large subunit ribosomal RNA", at positions 2695 to 2925 of the family's 2925-position model. The record is from RNAcentral. Lineage: Bacteria; Pseudomonadati; Pseudomonadota; Gammaproteobacteria.